Molecule: ribosomal RNA, 1419 nt
Filed under: metagenome
Description: bacterial SSU rRNA
Rfam family: Bacterial small subunit ribosomal RNA
Source: RNAcentral
AGAGUUUGAUCCUAGCUCAGGAUGAACGCUGGCAAUGUGGAUAAGGCAUGCAAGUCAAGGGGGCCGCAAGGCAACCGGCAGACGAGGUAGUAACACGUAGGUACACCCCCCGAAGUCGGGCAUAGCCAGCCGAAAGGUUGGGUAAUUCCCGAUAGUCCCGCAAGGGUAAAGGUUUUUCGCUUCGGGAGUGGCCUGCGUAAUAUCAGCUAGUUGGUAAGGUAAUGGCUUACCAAGGCUACGACGUUUAGGGGGGCUGAGAGGCUCUACCCCACCGAUGCACUGCGAUACGGGCCAUACCUCUACGGAGGGCUGCAGCCGAGAAUAUUCCGCAAUGGACGAAAGUCUGACGGAGCGGCAUCGCGUGAUGGAUGAAGUGCUUCGGUACGUAAACAUCUUUUAUCGGGGACGAAAUUAUUGACGGUACCCGGUGAAUAAGGGGCUCCUAACUCUGUGCCAGCAGGAGCGGUAAUACAGAGGCCCCAAGCGUUAUCCGGAAUUAUUGGGCGUAAAGGGUGUCCAGGUGGCCCUGUUAGUCGUUCGUUAAAUCCGUGGGCUUAACCUACGGGCUGCGAGCGAAACGGCAGGGCUCGAGGGCGCGAGAGGUGCAUGGAACUCAUGGUGGAGGGGUGAAAUCCGUUGAUAUCAUGGGGAACACCAAAGGCGAAGGCAGUGCACUGCGCGUUCCUGACACUCACACACGAAAGCCAGGGGAUCGAACGGGAUUAGAUACCCCGGUAGUCCUGGCCCUCAACGUUGCUCGCUCGUUUCGCGGAGUAUCGACCCUCUGCGGGACUAAGCUAACGCGGUAAGCGAGCCGCCUGGGUAGUACGAGCGCAAGCUUAAAACUCAAAGGAAUAGACGGGGAUUCGCACAAGCGGUGGAUUAUGUGGCUCAAUUCGUCGGCAAACGAAGAACCUUACCAAGAUUAGAAAUCCAGCUGCAUUCUUGUGGAAACACGAGGAGCCUUCGAGGGUGCUGGACAGGUGGUGCACGGUCGUCGUCAGUUCGUGGUUUGAACUGUUCCCUUCAGUGGGGUAACGAACGCAACCUUCGUUGUCUGUUACCUAUAUGGUCAGGCGAGACUGCUCCCUUGCGGGAGAGGAAGGUGGAGAUGACGCCAGAUCAGCGUGCCCUUUGAUAUCUUGGGCUGCACACAUAAUACAAUGGUUGGGAACAACAGGAUGCAAGACCGUAAGGUGGAGCAAAUCCCUAAAACCAACCUCAGUACGGAUUGAGGUCUGAAACCGACCUCAUGAAGCUGGAAUCGCUAGUAAUCCCGGGUCAGCUAAACCGGGGUGAAUACGUUCUCGAAUCUUGUACUCACCGCCCGUCAACUCAAGGGAGCUGGUGGUGCCCGAAACUCGCGCUCGUCGCGGGCUACGGUAAAAUCAGUGACAGGGAGUAAGUCGUAACAAGGCA